Molecule: long non-coding RNA, 1480 nt
Organism: Portunus trituberculatus (swimming crab)
Lineage: Eukaryota; Metazoa; Arthropoda; Malacostraca; Decapoda; Portunidae
Exons: 2
Source: RefSeq, a predicted model, not a curated record
ACAGGAUAACCUAAAUGGGCCCUGGUGGCCCUUUGUUAUCCUAUUAUUUAUGUUAUAUGUUAUGUUAAGUGAAUAAAUGUAAAAUGUCAGCUUGAUCAGUAUAAUUAUAAAACCACAAGAGAACCACAAGUUGAGGAGCAUUAGGACUCAUGGGAACAGUAAUUGUAAGAAUAUUUAAGGCCCUUGUAGUGUCAUAGACAAGACAUCAUACCCUAAUCAUAUAAUAGACAGACAGCUUACUAUCUGGAAGACAGAAUGAUAACCAAAGUUUCAUGAAAAAGACAGAGCAGACAGGGAACUAUAUUGUGGUAUAUUCUCCUGGGGCAGCUCUGGAGCACAUACUAUAUGCAGCCAGCAGAGGGGAGUGGGGUGAAGACCUGGCUGGAGAAGGCCUUUGUCUCAAAAUGUGGGUAGCCGUGGAAAGAUUCCUUCAUCAGGGUUCAGGAAGAAAUGGAUCAUUCUUCUCCUUUCAUGAUUUGCAUCUGUAGCAUUUGCACGAUACAUUUGAGAUUUCUGAUAGUCACCUGGGUUCAUCCUUAAAUGGUGGCACAUCUUUGGGUAAAUGUUAUUAAUGUCACCAGUAUGUGAUGAGUGAGCCACCUGAGGAGAAUGAGAGGGAAACUCUUACAGAAUGAUGGACCAAUAGUGCUCAUCACACAGGGAAGAUGGGAGAGUAAGAAGACUGGAAUUAGACAAUGUAGUUUUCAAAUUCUUGUUCCUUUUGUGUCCCUUUUUGAAGGAACUGAAGAGGCAUCAAAACAAUAACAUAACAAAAAGUAGUCACAAGUCAUGACCUCUACUUUUAAAAAUAAACAAAAGAACAGACCAUCUCAUUUCUUCCUUUAUUUAGCAAACUUCAACAUUACAGAUGCAACAGUAAAAAACUAGACAAAAUAGAUAAUCACUCUGCAGGUGAUGAGUGCCAAGGCUGUCCCUUCCAGCCAGCCACAUGACACACUGAACAACACUUGCCACAGGGACACACAGACACAGAGAAAGAUAGCAGCUCUCUACCAAGACUAGGUAUGCUUCAAAUCCAUCACUGUAUCACUAGGCCAAUGAGUGCCAAGGAGAGAGCAAUUUCUUGCCUCCCUUAUCUACUUCCCUCCCAAGAUUGUAUGGUACAUUAAAAAUGUUCACACAAGUAUAUAUUGUAGAAUCUAUGUAUUUAUAAUCAGUGAGAACUUGUAGUUUGUAUAGAAUUAAAUAAAAAAAGAGGAGGAAUGACUUUGAAACAAUAUAUUUACUAUAUAUACUUAUCUUGAUAAAGGUGUAAUAGCUCAUUACAUUGCUGAACUCUUCUCAAAAUUUAGCCUAUUAGCAAUAAGCUGAUAUAUCUGGUAAUCAGAAGCUGCUUUAGCAUGCUUGUUCAUCUUUUUCUUUGUCUGCAUGUCUGUCUAUUCUUUCUCUCUCUCUCUCUCUCUCUCUCUCUCUCUCUCUCUCUCUCUCUCUCUCUCUCUCUCUCUCUCUCUCUCUCUCU